Molecule: ribosomal RNA, 202 nt
Filed under: Ligilactobacillus aviarius
Lineage: Bacteria; Bacillati; Bacillota; Bacilli; Lactobacillales; Lactobacillaceae
Description: partial 23S ribosomal RNA
Rfam family: Bacterial large subunit ribosomal RNA
Source: RNAcentral
AGCGAAGUGGGAACAGCCCAAACCAAGAAGCUUGCUUUUUGGGGUUGUAGGACUGGACAUUUGAGUUACCAAGAGAUAACGUAGCUGAACGAUCUGGGAAGAUCGACCAAAGAAGGCAAUCGUCCUGUAAGCGAAACGUUGUUUCCUCAGUCCAGGAUCCUGAGUACGGCGGAACACGUGAAACUCCGUCGGAAUCCGGGAG